UUCAGAUUCCGUGUCUCCUUCUCUCUCUGCCCCUCUCCUGCUCGGGCUCUGUCUCUAAAAAAAUAAAUAAACAAUUAAAAAUUAAAAAAAAAUAAAAUUAUAAAGUCCAGAUCAUCAUCUAAGGUAGUGUUGUUAAAUAGAUAGAUAUUACAAGCCAAAGUGCAAUUUUAAAUUACCUCAUCACAUAUUUAAAAAGUCAAAAGAAGCAGAUAAAAUUCAUUCUUAUAGCAUUUUCCCCCAACAUAUCCAACAUUUUGUUAUUUAAGCAUGUAAUUAAGAGAAAACUACUAAUAACAUGUUUAUAUUCUUUUUUUUUACUAAAUCUUCAAAAUCCAAUGUAUAUUUUACACAUAAAAUAUAUCUCAGCUUAGACUAGUCACAUUUCAAGUACUAAAUAGCUACAUGUGACUAGUGACUACCCUACUGGAUAGCACUUAGGUAAUAUUUCAGAUUCUUACACAAUUUUUUCCUCUAUGCAAUGGUGUUCUCUUUUUUAUAUACUCUAUAUCUGUGCAAUCAUCUGAAUUAACUCUCGAAUCUUUCUUUUGAUCUCCACAUCUCCAAACUUAAUUCAUGUAACAUCAUCUUCACUCAAGUUAGUGCAGUAACUUCCCCAGUCACGUGAACUUCCUUCCUGUACCAUUCAUCCACUCUAUAUUCUUAUGCCCCAAUGACCUUCUUUAUUUGUGUACUUGACCAUAUCAUCCUCUGAUUUACAGGAGAGACCCGUACUUUUGUCUUCAUGUGAGAUGCUGUUUAUUACUUUCAUCCUGGUAACAUGGUAAUCCUAAAACUUCAAGAAAUAUUCUCCAAAAUGCUGAAUAUGUCUGGAAUUACAAGACCCUUCUGUGGUGGAACGGAGUGACUGGACCAAGGAUCCAGAUAGAAACACUGCCAGAGUCCGCACCACAAUAAGAGCUGAGUAAGUAGGGAGCCAUUGAUCAAGCAGAGAAAAUUUUCAAUUUGUGUUCAUCAGCCCCAGAUGUCAGCAACAAAUACCAGCUGAAGAUCCUGAAAAAGACCAAGCCAAACAAAUACUGCAGCAGACACAGAACACCCACUCUGCAGCAGACUGAAAACCACUCCAUGAAGACAUGAAAUCAUGCCAAGCCUGAUCACCUGAAUGCCUCAAAAUAUCUGCUGCAAUGCCUGAUAUCUAGCAAAGACCCAAAUGUUUGAUAAUUGAAUGAACAGAAACAAUCAACGAACAAUUGUUAGAGCCAAGUCUAUGUUCCCCAACUGAUAUUUCAAUUUUAUGAAGUCCAUUCAAAAUUCCAGCUGCUGAGAGGAAAUUUGAGUAAUGU
Felis catus (domestic cat) is the source of this 1304-nucleotide long non-coding RNA. RefSeq lists it as uncharacterized. The record is from RefSeq and is a predicted model, not a curated record. Lineage: Eukaryota; Metazoa; Chordata; Mammalia; Carnivora; Felidae. The transcript is spliced from 4 exons.